GAGUAGUAUGAAAAGAGAGACAUUUAGUCCCCUAGACAAAGAUGAAACACAGGUAAAUUUAUAAGGCACUGUCGUCUUUCACUCAAGGUGACAAUUACCAAAUUUCU
This is a small nuclear RNA of Melipona quadrifasciata, 107 nucleotides long. NCBI's taxonomy places the organism in Eukaryota, Metazoa, Arthropoda, Insecta, Hymenoptera, Apidae. The record is from Rfam.